UGACCUGCGGAAGGAUCAUUACUAGAGCAAAGGAUAGACAGCGCCCGCGGAGCUCGCUCCCGGGGCCACCCUACUCCGGUAGGGUUUAGAGUCGUCGGGCCUCUCGGAGAAGCUCGGUCCUGAACUCCACCCUUGAAUAAACUACCUUUGUUGCUUUGGCGGGCCGCCUCGUGCCAGCGGCUUCGGCUGUUGAGUGCCCGCCAGAGGACCACAACUCUUGUUUUUAGUGAUGUCUGAGUACUAUAUAAUAGUUAAAACUUUCAACAACGGAUCUCUUGGUUCUGGCAUCGAUGAAGAACGCAGCGAAAUGCGAUAAGUAAUGUGAAUUGCAGAAUUCAGUGAAUCAUCGAAUCUUUGAACGCACAUUGCGCCCUCUGGUAUUCCGGGGGGCAUGCCUGUUCGAGCGUCAUUAUAACCACUCAAGCUCUCGCUUGGUAUUGGGGUUCGCGGUUUCGCGGCUCCUAAAAUCAGUGGCGGUGCCUAUCGGCUCUACGCGUAGUAAUACUCCUCGCGAUUGAGUCCGGUAGGUCUACUUGCCAGCAACCCCUAAUUUUUUAAGGUUGACCUCGGAUCAGGUAGGGAUACCCGCUGAACUUAAGCAUAUCAAUAAGCGGAGGAAAAGAAACCAACAGGGAUUACCUCAGUAACGGCGAGUGAAGCGGUAACAGCUCAAAUUUGAAAGCUGGCUCUUUUAGGGUCCGCGUUGUAAUUUGUAGAAGAUGCUUCGGGUGUGGCCCCGGUCUAAGUUCCUUGGAACAG
RNAcentral lists this ribosomal RNA (759 nucleotides) under fungal sp. RNAcentral's name for it is "eukaryotic LSU rRNA". The stretch from base 256 to 409 matches the Rfam family "5.8S ribosomal RNA". The record is from RNAcentral. Lineage: Eukaryota; Fungi.